GAUGAACGCUGGCGGCGUGCCUAAUACAUGCAAGUCGAGCGAACAGACGAGGAGCUUGCUCCUCUGACGUUAGCGGCGGACGGGUGAGUAACACGUGGAUAACCUACCUAUAAGACUGGGAUAACUUCGGGAAACCGGAGCUAAUACCGGAUAAUAUAUUGAACCGCAUGGUUCAAUAGUGAAAGACGGUUUUGCUGUCACUUAUAGAUGGAUCCGCGCCGCAUUAGCUAGUUGGUAAGGUAACGGCUUACCAAGGCGACGAUGCGUAGCCGACCUGAGAGGGUGAUCGGCCACACUGGAACUGAGACACGGUCCAGACUCCUACGGGAGGCAGCAGUAGGGAAUCUUCCGCAAUGGGCGAAAGCCUGACGGAGCAACGCCGCGUGAGUGAUGAAGGUCUUCGGAUCGUAAAACUCUGUUAUUAGGGAAGAACAAAUGUGUAAGUAACUAAGCACGUCUUGACGGUACCUAAUCAGAAAGCCACGGCUAACUACGU
RNAcentral lists this ribosomal RNA (496 nucleotides) under uncultured bacterium. RNAcentral's name for it is "partial 16S ribosomal RNA". It matches the Rfam family "Bacterial small subunit ribosomal RNA", at positions 28 to 506 of the family's 1533-position model. The record is from RNAcentral.